AUGAUUCGAGUCAGAAGUAGCUGGUUAAAGAUCUCAUGUUUAUUACAAAUCAAUGGGAAUCCGAAUGAUUUUCUUCUUCAUCCUCACCACGAUACUGGUCACGGCACCAAACCAAAUCAAGAAAGCAGACAAAAUUCUCUAGGAAAAUAGAAACAAAGAGAAAACUGAAAAUUUAUCUGCUUUGUCACCGGCGAAUCCUGGAUAAACAGAGGACGGCCGGAGCUUAAAAAGCAGACGGGGAGAGCUAGGAAAGUGCUCUCCCCUUUGGUUCGAUCUCGCCUAAGGAUAGAUUCCUCGCCGCAGAUUAGCAGCGAACAAUUGCAAUUUUAG
Molecule: ribosomal RNA, 330 nt
Filed under: Triticum aestivum (bread wheat)
Lineage: Eukaryota; Viridiplantae; Streptophyta; Magnoliopsida; Poales; Poaceae
Description: partial small subunit ribosomal RNA
Source: RNAcentral